AGUGAACGCUGGCGGUAGGCCUAACACAUGCAAGUCGAACGGCAGCACAGUAAGAGCUUGCUCUUACGGGUGGCGAGUGGCGGACGGGUGAGGAAUACAUCGGAAUCUACUUUUUCGUGGGGGAUAACGUAGGGAAACUUACGCUAAUACCGCAUACGACCUACGGGUGAAAGCAGGGGAUCUUCGGACCUUGCGCGAUUGAAUGAGCCGAUGUCGGAUUAGCUAGUCGGCGGGGUAAAGGCCCACCAAGGCGCCGAUCCGUAGCUGGUCUGAGAGGAUGAUCAGCCACACUGGAACUGAGACACGGUCCAGACUCCUACGGGAGGCAGCAGUGGGGAAUAUUGGACAAUGGGCGCAAGCCUGAUCCAGCCAUACCGCGUGGGUGAAGAAGGCCUUCGGGUUGUAAAGCCCUUUUGUUGGGAAAGAAAAGCAGCAGGUUAAUACCCCGCUGUUCUGACGGUACCCAAAGAAUAAGCACCGGCUAACUUCGUG
This 492-nucleotide ribosomal RNA is filed under the name uncultured bacterium. RNAcentral describes it as "partial 16S ribosomal RNA". It matches the Rfam family "Bacterial small subunit ribosomal RNA", at positions 29 to 507 of the family's 1533-position model. The record is from RNAcentral.